Molecule: long non-coding RNA, 2740 nt
Organism: Brachypodium distachyon (stiff brome)
Lineage: Eukaryota; Viridiplantae; Streptophyta; Magnoliopsida; Poales; Poaceae
Exons: 3
Source: RefSeq, a predicted model, not a curated record
UGGACAUCCCUGCCGUAAUCUAUUUUUUCCAAUUCCCCAUCGCCUUCCUCCACGCUCCACCCCGCCGCACCGCCUCGAGCCCUAGACUGCGACGUCGCCGCAAGUUCCUCCUCCCCCUCGUGUCUGCCGCUUCGGUGCCGGCGUCCCUCCUCUCAAAGCAGCAGCAUGGAGCCAUCAGAGGCGACAACGGCGGAGGAGAACCAGGACGCCACGCCGCUGCCCAAGGAGAUGCUCAAUGAGAUUCUCGCGCGGCUCCCGGCCAAGUCAGUCGGCCGCUCCCGCUGCGUGUCGCCUGAGUGGGCCGCGUUGCUCUCGUCGGCGCACUUCGUGGACCUCCACGCCCGGCGAGCCAACAGGUCGGAUUGCCCUAGGCUGCUCCUUGCUCCAGUGGGCUCCUUGUACGAUGACUACAUCUAUUCAUGGCAGCCUGGUGGUCAGGUUGAGAAGCUCAUGCCGGACGAUUUCGCGGCAAAAGGGUUGCUUGCUCCUGUCACCAAGCCCUGCCAUGGCCUUGUCCUGAUCCGGUGCACUGACUACGGCGGGUACUUUGUUUGCAACCCUUCUACUGGUGCGGUCUUACCUCUCCCUGACAGCGAGAAUCCAUUGAAGAUGAUAUGGCGGCGGUCCUCAUUCCAUGGCGAAGUCGAAUUACCGUAUUUCCAUGAAGUAUCUUACGGCCUUGGUUACUGCUCAAUGACCAAGCAGCAUAAAGUAGUGCGUUUUUUUUUGCCGCAAUGACCUGUCAAGCUGUGAGGUCCUCGUCCUUGACACACCUGCAUACUGGAGGCCUGCUGCCCAAGAGUCUCCGUUGUGCUAUGUCAACGAGGAGAAGCCGGCUGUCUUCUUAAACGGACAUCUGCACUAUCUCUGCCGUGAUGCUGAAAUAAUCACUUUCAACACUAGCAGCGAGACCUUUGGUUCGUUGCUUCCGCCGACAGGUUUUGAGAAUGCAUCACCAGUGCUAACGGAGCUGGAUAGCUGCUUAUGCUUCUGUUAUGGAGAGCCUGACAGUGAUGAUCCUUACCAUGUCUUCCUGCUAAAAGAUUACAUGGAAGGCCGGUGGGACAAGCUAUGUUGCAUUGACCGAAUUGCUUGGCCAGAAACUGAGCGCAUGUUACUGCGAUCUCUCUGCAUUUCCCCACUAGGUAUGUAUCAUUCAGGCGAUGGACAGAGGAAGAUCAUGUUCGGGACAGGAUCUUGUAAAGUUUUUGCAGUGGACAUUGACAGCAACACCCCGGAGAUUUUAUUCACACCAGAUGGGACCAUCAUUGGGAGCUGUGAGGAUGACUAUACCUUGCCGCUUUGUGUGUUUGAGGAGUACCUCGGUCCAGUUGGACGCACACUUGAGGAGAUGAUCUUCUCGUCACUGACAACUAAAGCUUGGUCAGACAUUCUUAAGUGGAUGUCUGCACGCUCGGUCUCUGAGUUGAGUUUGGUCUGCAGGGAAUGGCGUGCAAUGAUCAUGACUGACCGUUUCAUUCAGUCACACGUCAUCCAUGCAAAUUUGAACAAGAACCCUCGGAUCAUGAUAGUUGUUGAUGCCCGUUUUGGACACUAUAUGAAUAUGAAGGACUUCUUUGAUGCGGGUGCACCAGCCUUGUAUGCAAAUCUUGUAUGUAACGCCCAGCCUUGUCACGGCCUGAAUGUCGGGAGUUGCGGUCCAUGGGAUUUUGUGUGUAAUCCGGUGAUGGGUUAUUGUCAGCACAUCGAGUCUGUCGAUGAUGAUGUCCCUUUGUUUGCUGGGCGCAUUGGUUUGGGUUACGACUCAGAAAUUAACAAGCAUGUGCUAGUCCAUACCACCUACAAAGAGAAGAACCUGGACACGUGAGAUUAUGAGCUGCAGUGUAAAUUGCGUUAUGUGAAAGAGCAGCAAUGGCGUUCAGUAGAUCCUCCUCCUAGACCAAUAGCUGAUAUGCCUCCCACCUAUGUCAGUGGCAAAAUCUACUGGAUGGUAGAGCCUAAUCUUGGACCAAUUUCUCUAAGGUGUGAAAUCGUGGCGUUCAAUGUUGCGACAGAUGAAUUUGAGGUUCUGCAAGGUCCUCCAUGCAGCCAUGACAAUGGCCGUAUUUCUAUCCUCCAGCUUCAAGGAGCACUUUGUGUGGCUUGUUCAGACAAGAGCAUGAAUGUACUUGACAUAUGGAUGAUGAAGGACAUUGACACCUGGUUAAUGGAAUACCACAUAGAGCUUAAUGAGUUCUUGCCAGAGUAUUUGUCUGAGAAUACUACACCUUUGCUUGUUGAUCCUAAGGAUGGACGAAUUUUGCUCAACACUGGUUUGUCACUUGGCUACUAUGACCCCAAGAUGCUGGGAUUGGAGACCAUCUACACUGCGGGCAUGCCAGAGCAUGAUGCCAGGUUCUGGCCUAUUAUCUGUGAUGAAAGUUUAUUGUGCCCGCUUGGACCGUCCUAAUCUAUGGUGGAACUACAGCUUCAGCGACCAUCUUUCAUGACCACGUCUCUAAAGGGAGCCCUCAGCGAACGCUAGCUUGACGUUUCUGGAUGUCUCUUCUAUCUUCACUCCCGUUCACCCUUCCUCUAUCAUCUGCAAAAACUUUGCAUUUAUGUUACCAAAAAUUGUAGUGAAGUUUUAAUAAUUAUCUUGUUGAUAGAUAUGCUCUUAGUCUAUAUCGUUUCUGCUGGAGAGGUAAAAGUUGUAUGGAUAAUCAAAUCGUAACAUCGAUUAUUCUGUAGUCAUGCUGAGGCCUGGUCGUGAAAGAAACUACUUGUGGAUGCUUGGUUA